AGCAGUAGCCACGGUAAAACGGAGGGUGCAAGCGUUAUCCGGAUUUAUUGGGUUUAAAGGGUCCGUAGGCGGACUUAUAAGUCAGUGGUGAAAGCCUGUCGCUUAACGAUAGAACUGCCAUUGAUACUGUAAGUCUUGAGUAUAUUUGAGGUAGCUGGAAUAAGUAGUGUAGCGGUGAAAUGCAUAGAUAUUACUUAGAACACCAAUUGCGAAGGCAGGUUACCAAGAUAUAACUGACGCUGAGGGACGAAAGCGUGGGUAGCGAACAGGAUUAGAUACCCGCGUAGUCCCUGUCUCUUAUAC
Molecule: ribosomal RNA, 303 nt
Filed under: uncultured bacterium
Lineage: Bacteria
Description: partial 16S ribosomal RNA
Rfam family: Bacterial small subunit ribosomal RNA
Source: RNAcentral